AUUGAACGCUGGCGGCAUGCUUUACACAUGCAAGUCGAACGGUAACAGGCCUUCGGGUGCUGACGAGUGGCGAACGGGUGAGUAAUGCAUCGGAACGUACCCAGAGGUGGGGGAUAACGCAGCGAAAGCUGUGCUAAUACCGCAUGUGAUCUGAGGAUGAAAGCGGGGGACCGAGCAGCAAUGUUUGGCCUCGCGCCUUUGGAGCGGCCGAUGUCGGAUUAGCUAGUUGGUGGGGUAAAGGCCUACCAAGGCGACGAUCCGUAGCUGGUCUGAGAGGAAGACCAGCCAAACUGGGACUGAGACACGGCCCAGACUCCUACGGGAGGCAGCAGUGGGGAAUUUUGGACAAUGGGCGCAAGCCUGAUCCAGCAAUGCCGCGUGCGGGAAGAAGGCCUUCGGGUUGUAAACCGCUUUUGGCAGGAACGAAACGGUGUCCGCUAAUACCGGGCGCUAAUGACGGUACCUGCAGAAUAAGCACCGGCUAACUACGUG
This 492-nucleotide ribosomal RNA is filed under the name uncultured bacterium. RNAcentral's name for it is "partial 16S ribosomal RNA". It matches the Rfam family "Bacterial small subunit ribosomal RNA", at positions 29 to 507 of the family's 1533-position model. The record is from RNAcentral.